AACGCUAGCUACAGGCUUAACACAUGCAAGUCGAGGGGCAGCAUGGUCUUAGCUUGCUAAGGCCGAUGGCGACCGGCGCACGGGUGAGUAACACGUAUCCAACCUGCCGUCUACUCUUGGACAGCCUUCUGAAAGGAAGAUUAAUACAAGAUGGCAUCAUGAGUCCGCAUGUUCACAUGAUUAAAGGUAUUCCGGUAGACGAUGGGGAUGCGUUCCAUUAGAUAGUAGGCGGGGUAACGGCCCACCUAGUCUUCGAUGGAUAGGGGUUCUGAGAGGAAGGUCCCCCACAUUGGAACUGAGACACGGUCCAAACUCCUACGGGAGGCAGCAGUGAGGAAUAUUGGUCAAUGGGCGAGAGCCUGAACCAGCCAAGUAGCGUGAAGGAUGACUGCCCUAUGGGUUGUAAACUUCUUUUAUAAAGGAAUAAAGUCGGGUAUGGAUACCCGUUUGCAUGUACUUUAUGAAUAAGGAUCGGCUAACUCCGUGCCAGCAGCCGCGGUAAUACGGAGGAUCCGAGCGUUAUCCGGAUUUAUUGGGUUUAAAGGGAGCGUAGAUGGAUGUUUAAGUCAGUUGUGAAAGUUUGCGGCUCAACCGUAAAAUUGCAGUUGAUGCUGGAUAUCUUGAGUGCAGUUGAGGCAGGCGGAAUUCGUGGUGUAGCGGUGAAAUGCUUAGAUAUCACGAAGAACUCCGAUUG
Molecule: ribosomal RNA, 694 nt
Filed under: uncultured bacterium
Lineage: Bacteria
Description: bacterial SSU rRNA
Rfam family: Bacterial small subunit ribosomal RNA
Source: RNAcentral